GAUGAACGCUAGCGGCAGGCCUAACACAUGCAAGUCGAACGGUAAGGCGCCUUCGGGCGUACACGAGUGGCGGAUGGGUGCGUAACGCGUAUGCAACCUGCCCCGCACCGGGGAGUAGCCCUGCGAAAGCGGGAGUAAUCCCCCGUGGUGCCCUAGGGUCGCAUGACCCCGGGGUGAUAGCCUUCGGGCGGCGCGGGAUGGGCAUGCGUGCCAUUAGCUGGUUGGUGGGGUAACGGCCCACCAAGGCGACGAUGGCUCGGGGGCCUGAGAGGGUGGUCCCCCACACUGGGACUGAGACACGGCCCAGACUCCUACGGGAGGCAGCAGUGAGGAAUAUUGGUCAAUGGGCGGAAGCCUGAACCAGCCAUGCCGCGUGCCGGACGACGGCCCUACGGGUUGUAAACGGCUUUUGCGCGGGAGCAAUAAGGGGGAUGCGUCCCCCGAUGCGCGUACCACGCGAAUAAGGAUCGGCUAACUCCGUGCCAGCAGCCGCGGUAAUACGGAGGAUCCGAGCGUUAUCCGGAUUUACUGGGUUUAAAGGGAGCGCAGGCGGGCGUCUAAGUCCGUGGUGAAAGCCCGGGGCUCAACCCCGGCACUGCCGCGGAUACUGGGGGCCUUGAAUGCGGUCGAGGGCGGCGGAACGCGUGGUGUAGCGGUGAAAUGCGUAGAUAUCACGUGGAAGGCCAAUUGCGAAGGCAGCUGCCCGGGCCGCGAUUGACGCUGAGGCUCGAAAGCGUGGGGAUCGAACGGGAUUAGAUACCCCGGUAGUCCACGCCGUAAACGAUGAGCACUGGCUGUGGGUGCGCUUUGGCAUCCGCGGCUGCGCGAAAGCAUUAAGUGCUCCACCUGGGGAGUACGGCCGCAAGGCUGAAACUCAAAGGAAUUGACGGGGGCCCGCACAAGCGGAGGAACAUGUGGUUUAAUUCGAUGAUACGCGAGGAACCUUACCUGGGCUCGAACGCCGGUUGCGACAGCCAGAAAUGGCUGGUCCCUUCGGGGCGGCCGGCGAGGUGCUGCAUGGUUGUCGUCAGCUCGUGCCGUGAGGUGUCGGGUUAAGUCCCAUAACGAGCGCAACCCCUGCCGCCAGUUGCCAUCAGGUGAUGCUGGGGACUCUGGCGGGACUGCCGGCGCAAGCCGCGAGGAGGGUGGGGAUGACGUCAAAUCAGCACGGCCCUUACGUCCAGGGCGACACACGUGUUACAAUGGUCGGUACAGAGGGAGGCCACCCCGCGAGGGGGCGCGGAUCCCGAAAGCCGGCCCCAGUUCGGAUCGGAGUCUGCAACCCGACUCCGUGAAGCUGGAUUCGCUAGUAAUCGCGCAUCAGCCAUGGCGCGGUGAAUACGUUCCCGGGCCU
This 1354-nucleotide ribosomal RNA is filed under the name uncultured bacterium. Its description in RNAcentral is "bacterial SSU rRNA". It matches the Rfam family "Bacterial small subunit ribosomal RNA", at positions 28 to 1381 of the family's 1533-position model. The record is from RNAcentral.